Molecule: long non-coding RNA, 423 nt
Filed under: Mus spicilegus (steppe mouse)
Lineage: Eukaryota; Metazoa; Chordata; Mammalia; Rodentia; Muridae
Description: lncRNA (ENSMSIG00000016865.1)
Source: RNAcentral
UUUCAUUGUAUAAUACAAAACAAUAGAAUUCUUAUUUAGUUGCACUGCUUAGAAUAGUGCCCACCAUGUGUAUAGUGUACAGGCCACAUAAUAUGUAACUGACACAGUAUUGUUUUAGUUUGUGAUUUGUGCCAUGCCUUAUAAGAUAUCAAGACAGGCCAGUGAUUUAAAUGGAUGGAGAACAAGGAGAAAAUACUCAUCAAUGGAGAAUGAAGACUCUGGAAAAAAUCUUAUCUUCCCUUUAUGAAAAGCCAUUAUUUAGUCCAGGGUUAUCUUCUACAUCCAUGGAGAUCAUCCAGUUCCCAGAUGUUCAAUUUUGUGCACUGAAGCAGAGUCACUGGUAAGUCUUCCUUCCUCCCCUUUAACAUCUAGUUCCACAAAAUUUAACCCCCAUAUUUAUUUCCUAAAAUAACUAAUAUCAAG